UCUGUGUAGGUUUACUAAGUGUCUUUUUUUCUAGUGUGGAUUUGUUUGUUAUUUUGGCCUGGAUCACUCCUGAUGUUAUAGUUCAGUGUCACACUGUCUCUUGUGCAAUACACUGGCUAUCAUUGAACAACUUUGGCCUGUUGUGAUCUGAUUUCAUUUCCACUAAACACUAGUUUAGCUGUUUUUCUCACACUUCCUGUUAUGGCCUGGAGCCUAGAUGAAGUUAAAACAGUUGGAUUGUCCUUUUGGUUGUCAAACUGCUUGUUUUCCAGACUCUGCUGUUUGAAUAACCCUUGGAUUGAAAAGCAGAAGCUGCCUGGACCCCCAGUCAAAAUUCUCAGAUUGUUUUCUGAGAAUUAACUUCUCAGUCCACAGGUUAGCAGUGAGCAAUGAAGCAGUCUAACCAGAGAAGACAAGUAACAUUAUCUCUGGGAAAAUAGCCACAAGGGAGCCCUUCAGGGAAACCUGGAAGAAUAAUAAGACAUGUUGUGAUGCAAGAAUCCAUCAGCACAUAUCAGGUGUUUAAAUAACCUUUGGGAAAACAGAUUACCUGCAUGCUUUUCAUCGCAGGGAAGAUAACGCUUCAUCCCAGGGAAGACAUUCUGAUGAAGUAUUGCAGCAUAUAUUAAUAAAUGGCUACUUAUGUAUA
Molecule: long non-coding RNA, 649 nt
Organism: Electrophorus electricus (electric eel)
Lineage: Eukaryota; Metazoa; Chordata; Actinopteri; Gymnotiformes; Gymnotidae
Source: RefSeq, a predicted model, not a curated record